GAUGAAGAACGUAGUGAAAUGCGAUAAGUAGUGUGAAUUGCAGAAUUCAGUGAAUCAUCGAAUCUUUGAACGCACAUUGCGCCCCUUGGUAUUCCAUGGGGCAUGCCUGUUCGAGCGUCAUUUGUACCUUCAAGCUCUGCUUGGUGUUGGGUGUUUGUCUCGCCUCUGCGUGUAGACUCGCCUCAAAACAAUUGGCAGCCGGCGUAUUGAUUUCGGAGUGCAGUACAUCUCGCGCUUUGCACUCAUAACGACGACGUCCAAAAGUACAUUUUUACACUCUUGACCUCGGAUCAGGUAGGGAUACCCGCUGAACUUAAGCAUAUCAAUAAGCGGAGA
Molecule: unclassified non-coding RNA, 336 nt
Filed under: soil metagenome
Description: partial contains 5.8S ribosomal RNA, internal transcribed spacer 2, and large subunit ribosomal RNA
Rfam family: 5.8S ribosomal RNA (bases 1-120)
Source: RNAcentral